CUCUGAAUCCCUCACACAUCUGUUUCUUCUUAGUCUCUUAAACAAAUCUGUAAUUGUUCGCUGUGGUUGUCACCGAGCUCGCCGGCGUAGGUCAUCGUUUGCGACCCAUCUUGAGCCCCUUGGUUGUCGUCGUCACCGAGCUCUGCCUCCAACCUCAUAUCUCUAUUACAUAUCUGAAGCACCAUCUCCCCUCGUGCCAUCCAGGUAAUUGAACUUGCGCUGGCUAGGUCACCGAUCUAGCGCCAUCCAUCUCAUCUAGCUCGCCGAGCUCGCCAUCUCCCUCAUGGAUGAGAACCGUGAGAAGAUGCUUUAAAUCUUUUACGACUCUCAAUAUUUCUUCCUUGUGAGUAUUAUCACGCCCUGAUGCUAUAAUUUUAAUGAAUUCAUUCAAUUUUUUCUAAUUUUAUUUUGCGAACCCUAUUCUAAUUGAUUUCAAUUGAGUUCUGUAAUUUCAAAUGUGGUUAAUCUCUUUGUCAAAUGUGGUUUCAACUUAUAUUGUACUUCUACAGCUCUGUUCAUAGGUUUAUUGGAGAUUUCAGCUAAAGGAGCUUGAUAAGUCAGGCCCAAAGAAAUGUGUUAUUUCUCAGUCUGUGAAAUAUGUGAUCCAAAAUUUAGUGGAUGAUGACCUUGUUUUCAAAGACAAGAUAAGGAACCUCUGUAAGUGGAUGUUUCCACAUACAGCUUUGCAUCGUGGAUGAUGAUCAGUCUGUGAAAGAUGUGAUCCAAAAUGCUUGUUUAUAUUGGCAUUUUGUUGUAAUGCAUGUUAUUUUAAAAUUUCAGGUGUAUUUUUGGAGUCUUCCUAGCACUGCUGGAAACCAGGUGAACCUUUGAUGGUUUCCAUUAUAAGCUCAGUUCUACAGGGUAGGAUUUGUGCUGAAAUUCCUACAAGUAGAUUCGUGCUGAUAUUGUUUUGGUCUUUGGCAGCUUAGGAAUGUGUAUAGCAUACUUGAAUCUGAUCUCCAAAGCAGUAAGAAGCGUCAUGCAGAACUUGUUGAACAGUGUAAUGCCCUGAAGAAGGGAUAAACUGUUGAUUUUACGUUAGAGAUGCUUUAGGUACAAUUUCUGUUUAGGUUUUAACAUAGAGAUACAAUUUCCGUUUAGGUUUUAACAUAGAGAUGCAGUUUGAUUUUACGGUAGUAGAGAAGCUGAUUCUGUUCUGUUCUGAAAUCCUGUGGGAGCGUCUUUUAAAUGUCUUAUCUACAUAUUGUUACUAAAAUUGUUAUGUUUUUUCUUUUGGCCAUUGGCCAGAUUAUAACUUUGUUUGGAAUUAUUUUUUUAUGGGACAUAAUAUAAAAUUUUAUAUGAAGGAGAACUUAAAAUCUGAAUGCUUAAUUCAACUUUUGUUUGUUCUUUCUUGAUUUCAGUAAUAUCUCUGCCGGUUAAUGUAAUUGAUAAUACAAUUAUUAUUAAAUCACCUGCAGAGCAGAAGCACUUAAUAAUCACUUGACUGCUGUCCAGCGAGACCAUGAAGUCAGAUCUCAAAUAGAAGAAAGAAAAAUAAGAAUUGAUGCAGCUUAUGAAGAUGCUAAAAGAAAGGAAAAAUCUCUGCAAGACAAGAACGAGCUAAAGCAGAAGCUGCGGUCUUUUUGUUUGGCCUUUUUAUAUCAUUACUGUUUUGUUGGUAAGUUUCUAGAUAUGGUGUGCAUGUAAUGGCCUCAUUAUGUUACUGCUUUCGAUAUUCUUUGUUGAUGUGUCGGAAAGGUUUUUUAGCAUUUCAAGUAAAAGCUAUUCCAGUGAACUUUGGGUAACUUGGUUAAUAACCAGGGUUCCACCCCAAUUAUGUAAGGAGAAUGUUUGUUAUGAAACGUUUGAGAUUAACAAGGACGUUCAAGAUUAA
Molecule: long non-coding RNA, 1837 nt
Filed under: Prunus dulcis (almond)
Lineage: Eukaryota; Viridiplantae; Streptophyta; Magnoliopsida; Rosales; Rosaceae
Description: sRNA ncRNA
Source: RNAcentral